CCCGGACACAAGCGGUGGAGUAUGUGGUUUAAUUCGAAGCAACGCGAAGAACCUUACCAGGGCUUGACAUGCCGCUGACCGGUUUAGAGAUAGAUCUUUAUCCUUCGGGGUACAGCGGACACAGGUGGUGCAUGGUUGUCGUCAGCUCGUGUCGUGAGAUGUUGGGUUAAGUCCCGCAACGAGCGCAACCCUUGUCUUUAGUUGCCAUCAUUAAGUUGGGCACUCUAAAGAGACUGCCGAUGACAAAUCGGAGGAAGGUGGGGAUGACGUCAAAUCAUCAUGCCCUUUAUGUCCUGGGCUACACACGUGCUACAAUGGUCGGUACAACGAGAAGCAAGUCAGCGAUGGCAAGCAAAUCUCUAAAAGCCGAUCCCAGUUCGGAUUGCAGGCUGCAACUCGCCUGCAUGAAGUCGGAGUUGCUAGUAAUCGCGGAUCAGAAUGCCGCGGUGAAUGCGUUCCCGGGUCUU
RNAcentral lists this ribosomal RNA (467 nucleotides) under uncultured Eubacteriales bacterium. Its description in RNAcentral is "bacterial SSU rRNA". It matches the Rfam family "Bacterial small subunit ribosomal RNA", at positions 920 to 1382 of the family's 1533-position model. Lineage: Bacteria; Bacillati; Bacillota; Clostridia; Eubacteriales. The record is from RNAcentral.